Molecule: long non-coding RNA, 2197 nt
Organism: Bubalus bubalis (water buffalo)
Lineage: Eukaryota; Metazoa; Chordata; Mammalia; Artiodactyla; Bovidae
Exons: 3
Source: RefSeq, a predicted model, not a curated record
UGUUGACUGAGCGCGGCGCUGUGGUUUUUAACUUGCUUACCUUGUGGCCUUGGAAAACCUGAGGGAGGUUUCUAUGCGGCCACCCUCUCAGUGAGCUCCCCUUUCCACGCCGUCUGUCUACCUCGGCCGGCGACGCGCCACUGGUAUGUCCAGGUCUGAAUUCUUGCAGUGGAAUGCUGGUUGGAAAUGAAAUGCGCCACUUCCCGCUUGACCUAUAAAAAUCCCCCAAGUGUGCUCUUCUUACAUUUUCUUCAUCCGCUGAUUGGAAAGGACCCUAGAGACCACAGAGAAACAAGAACUUUAAGACAGAAGAAGCUUGGAACAGAGCCUGCUGCCACUCCUUUGCCACCCCAUGAGAUGUAAGCAAGAAAUAACAUUUAUUUUGGGCUUCCCUGGUAUCUCAGAUGGUAAAGAAUCUGCCUGCAAUGCAGGAGGCCUGGGUUUGAUCCCUGGAUUGGAAAGAUCCCCUGGAGAAGGGGGGAGAAUCCCAUGGACAGAGAAGCCUGGAGUGCUAUACAGUCCAUGGGGUCACAAAGACUCAGACACGAUUGAGGGACUAAGCACAAUGCACGAUGUCUCUUAGUCUACUACAGUAAGUAUCUUUACUGAUGCUUACAUUGUUCUAUAUUUGGCUGGUAGGUGCCUCUCUUUGGGUUGGUUUCCGAGCCCUUUUGAUUAGUAGUCUCCCUUUUCAGAGUUUUUGAUUAUUUCCUUUCUGUCUGUUGUGACAGAAUGUCCAGACUCAUCUUAUACAUUUCCUACUCUAUACUUUUGGUCAGUUUUUCCUUCACUGAAUUCUUUAUAGUGAGGAAUGGAAUUUCAAAACAAGAAUUUGGGUGGGAAGGCUGCUCUUUGUUCAAAAAGACUUUCAUUUUAAUAUUUACAAGCUUUACUGUUUAUAUUCUCUGUUUUAUAAUAUUUAUUUUACAUAUUUGUGUGUAAAUGAAUUACUGUAUUCUAUUAUGUGAAGCCACGAUGUAUACCAUGAACCACCUAGUUAAUGAUAUUUAUUUUGAAAAAAAUCACCUAAACUAUUAAAUGUCUGUCAGAUAAAAUAUCCAUUUCAAAUAUGCUAUUUUCUUCAGUAUCCCAAAGAAAAUUGGAGUCUUCAAAGAAAAUUAAUGGAGUCUUCAUGUUUAGACUCUAAAGAUGGGCUUUUGUGCUGGCUCAGUUGGUAAAGAAUCUGCUUGUAGUGCAGGAGACCCAGGUUCAAUGCCAGUGCUGGGAAUAUUCCCUGCAGAAGGGAAUGGCUACCUUCUCCAGUAUUCUUGCCUGGAAAAUUUCAUGUACAGAGAAGCCUGGUGGGCCACAGUCCAUGGGGUCGCAAAGAGUUGGAUGUAACUGAGUCACCUACACUUUGCAUUCCUCUUAAUUAAUUUUUCCUAUUGGCAGUUAUGCAUAGUUUUGUGGUAUCACACUGUUCUUCAUAACUUCUGUUAUGAUCUGGACAUCAUUAUUAUCUUGCUGCCUUACCAGCACCCAGAAUUCUGAAGAACUGGUUUGAGGCUCAGAGCAAGGCAAAUUUGUCUGAAUAGUAGGGAGGAGAUAUGAGGAGUAGAGGCAAAGAUGGUGAUAUAGUCUUAAGUUGCUUCUCUGUGGGUCUGGUGUCUGAGCCACACUGGGGAGUUCUCUGCGCCUUCUCCUCUUUGCCUUAUCCUGUCCAGUGCUAAAUGAGAUGUGGAAGCAAGUAAACACUAAAAUAUAAAGAGAUGACGAAGUAGUUGGCAUGGAAUGGAAGUCAAAACAGUGCUGCUCUCUGGCCUUGUGUCUAGGGUAGGUUAGUCUCUCCAAGUCUGAGAUUGCACACUUUAUCCCAUUACUCUGUAAUAUUUUUUUAGACCAUUUAUACUAUAUGUGUAUACAGUACCACAUACUUUUUGAAAAAGUAUUUGUGGUGUAUCUUCUUUUUUCUAAAGUUCCAUGAGUGCAGGAACCUUUUCCACUACUGACUCCUCAGUGCUUUGAAUAGUCUUUAGAACAGAGUGAGUGCUCAAUAAACAUUUAAUGAAUUAUUGCUGAGUUUUUGAGAAGACAAAAUAAGAUAGUGAAUGUAGAAAGUUUAGCACUAUGCCUACUAUCACUUCAUGGGAAAUAGAUGGGGAAACAGUGGAAACAGUGUCAGACUUUAUUUUUCUGGGCUCCAAAAUCACUACAGAUGGUGACUGCAGCCAUGAAAUUAAAAGACACUUACUCCUUG